AAAAAAUCUUCAGCCUGGCCUUAUCCCGUCGCUGUGCUCGUACCAGCCGUUCUGAUAUUUCUUCCAACCACCGCUCCCUGCUUCCUAUCUACGCAGCGCUCUGGUCGGCUGGUCCUCAUCCCUCCAGUACGCGAGACUUCUUCCUUGAUCCUUCCCUCCGCCGCGCACUGUGGAAGUCUCUGGCCGCCCAUCCUGCGUACGCCACCGCUCUACUCGAUCUUCAGCUCCAGCAGCGCGAUAUUUUUUCGCUCGGCGUCGUCCUCAUCUCCUUCCCCGACGCUGCGCUCUCUCUCUUGGUUUCCUGCUCGCCGCUCUCUCUCUCCCUAUUUAUCUCACACGCGCUCAACUUCCUUGCUUCAACUUUCUGGCCGUGCGAGCGCAGUCGGCCGCGACAGCCAACGCGUGGGCGUGCGGAGGCGCGCGCCAUGGGGCUGGACGUGCACGUCCCUGGCAGGUUUCAGCUCCAGCGCGUCGUCCUCCAUGGCCGCCGUGUGCUCGCCAGCGAGCUCCUCCCUUCUCCCUGCAGCUUGCCGAGCUCGCCGGCGUUUCUCCCGCUCCCUGGUGGCCGAGCCUGGCCCCUGCGCCCUGCUGCAGCCCGUCGUCACCUUGCUGCUCGCCGUCCGCGCGCCACUUCGCCCAUGGCAGCCACGCCUGCUCCCUUCGCCGCGCGUCGUGUCGCGCCGUUCGCCGUCGAGUCUCGCUACCCAUCGCGAAGUCCCAUGCUGUCAGCCUCCGCAUAUGUCCUAAGCCGUCAGUUUGCCUCCAUCUCGUGGUAGUGUUGCGCUGCCGUCGAGUCCCGAUAUCGAUCUGGUUGUCGUCGAAGUGAAGCUUAGUUUAAUGAUUGCCAAGGGUUCGAUCAAAGAUUUUAUUCGGAGACUGUCGACGUUCUCGCAAGCUUGAAGUCGGACUUACUUUGGAUGAUAAGUCUCUGAUGUUCGAGAGAGGCGAGGCCUGUAAGCGCUCUCUUGGGACUCAACCAAAUAUCUAAACUGGAAAACUGUCAUCGCCCUCGCGGAUAUCGAAUCAAAUCAGUAUUGGCACAUUAAAUAAUCGCGUGAUGCGGAAGACAAGCCAAGUCGACCCCAAGCGUGGGCUAAUCCGUAUGGUGAUGCUGAUGGACGAACCUGCCUGAUCAAGUGCUAGGACAAGGAUGAUCGCCAAGUGGACGUCGUCU
This 1174-nucleotide unclassified non-coding RNA is filed under the name Zea mays. Its description in RNAcentral is "misc RNA Zm00001eb334870". Lineage: Eukaryota; Viridiplantae; Streptophyta; Magnoliopsida; Poales; Poaceae. The record is from RNAcentral.